UGGCUUACUGAUUGAUUAUUACUCUUUUGUUUGAUCAUGUAGAUGUACAGAGGAGGGAAAAUAUGCUUGACCGUGCAUUUCAAGCCUCUAUGGGCGAAGAAUUGCCCCAGAUUUGGCAUUGCACACGCACUCUGUUUGGGUCUUGCACCAUGGCUUGCAGCAGAGAUUCCUGUUCUUGUUGAUUCUGGCAUGAUUAAACACAAAGAUGAUGUGGCCACAUCCAGUGAAUCUUGACAAGGAGAU
This is a long non-coding RNA of Solanum verrucosum, 243 nucleotides long. RefSeq lists it as uncharacterized. NCBI's taxonomy places the organism in Eukaryota, Viridiplantae, Streptophyta, Magnoliopsida, Solanales, Solanaceae. The transcript is spliced from 2 exons. The record is from RefSeq and is a predicted model, not a curated record.